This is a long non-coding RNA of Amphimedon queenslandica, 942 nucleotides long. RefSeq lists it as uncharacterized. Lineage: Eukaryota; Metazoa; Porifera; Demospongiae; Haplosclerida; Niphatidae. The transcript has 2 exons. The record is from RefSeq and is a predicted model, not a curated record.
UGUAAUUUAUUUUUAGCUAUGGAAAAUUUUUAAAAACAAAAUCUUUUACAAAAAUGGCAUGACAUGCAUAGUAGUAAAGUAAAUACUAGAUAUACUGUAAUGGUUCUGAUUCGUUUACAGUAUUCAUUAUCUAUUAUGGGUUUGCAUUAAUUGCAAUUUAUAUAGGUGAUAAUCACAAUAAUUAUUACACUGUCCACCCACCUCCUCACGAAAUAGGAAACUAUAAACCUAAUUUUAAUAUUGAAUAAGGAAUUCAGCACUAUGUUUGGCUAGCUUCUGUAUACCAGCCAUAAUAUUCAUAAUUAUAUUAUCCCUCACUUCCCACAUAAUAUACAAGUCCUUGUACAAAUCAAAUUGCAGAUUCUAGAAGCAGCAACUGAUAUUAUUUUCAAUUCACAAUCGUAUUUCUAUGUGUCUUGUCUUUUUAGGCUCGAUGUCAGAAUCUUCCAGACCAGUCUUUUGGUAAUCACUGCCAUUUUACUAUUCAUUACAACAAUAGUGGUGUCAGCUGGCUGAGGAAAGACGUGUACUAAUUUCCGUAAAUCAGCAGACUAUGCUCACAUUUCUUGCAGCGGUCGUUCUAUAGGAUCAUUUCAUGGGCAAGAAGUAAUAGCAUCAGCUGUAUGUGCUGGUUUGGGUUUCUUCUUAACUGUAUCUGAACUUGUUUUCUUCAUCAUUAUGCAAAGAAUGGGACUCAAUUAACUAUUACUCAAAGCAACGAAGUUAGUGAUGGAACUGAUGAAAAUGAAGAUGAAAUUAAUGCUACUACUAAUAACAGCAGAUUAAAUUUAUAUUUUUGGUAAACAAAUUUUAUUGAUAUGUAUAAAUUAACGUUUGCCUUUUAUUUCUGCACCAUUCAUUCCAAAUUUGACAUGUAUUAAUUUUUAUUAUUGUUGUUGUAAUCAGUAUAUUCAUAUUAUUUAUAAUGGUAUCAAUGCCAAA